UAAGCAGGCACCCAAGCGCCGCGUAUGAGGAGCUCCGAGAUACAAUAUUUAAUGUGGACCAUUUCCUGCCCUCCUCAGACUUCAUACUGCCUGAUACUGGGACAUGUAUUUCUUUGAGCAUCUAUAAUGAGCCUGGCAUCAGGCAAGUCAGCAAAGAUCCCCGUGUGAAGGAGACCUGAUUCCUCCCUGGAGGAGCUUUCAGCCUCAGAGCAAACAUGUACCACAAAGAUGUCCACUUCUCUAUGAACAAGUCCACUAACCGGCCACUCUGCCUCCCCCAAAAGGCCAGAAGAAGGGCAGACGGAAGGAAGAAGGAAGAAAGAAAAGCAGCGAAGAAGGAUCGAUGGACACGCGGAAGAAUGUCUGCUGCUUCAAAUGUGGCACCGUUUAAGCUCCCAACGCGGGAGCCAAGAGCUCCUGUUAAAUGAUUGUUCUAUUACUUCUAGUUCUUGGAGCGAGGGGAGACAUUCAUCCUCUUUUGACUGUCCCUGUUGACUUUCCUGUGGCAAAGGCUCCUUCUCAGAAGCCGCUGACUUUCGCCAAAUCAGCAUCAAGUCACAACUGCCCUCCCGUGUGAACCCAGGUAAAGAAUCUGCAGCUCCUGAAGACUGAGGAACUUGACCAGGGCCACAGACACCUGGAGCCAGGUUGAACCCAGAUUCGUCAGACGUGAACCGUUGCCCUAAGUCAGGUUCACACUGGAAAAGAACUUUUUCUUUUUUUUUUUGGCCUCACCGCACGGCAUGUGGGAUCUUAGUUCGCUCCCUGACCAGGGAUGGAACCUGUGCCCCCUGCAUUGGAAGUGCAGAGUCUUAACCACUGGACCGCCAGGGAAGUUCCUGGAGAAGAAUUUUGCUUCAAGGUGAAUUGUGCCUGGAGUCUCACCCGUAUCUGGUUUAGGUGACAUUUAGGUGAGACUUUGGGCAUUAGACUUUAGAGUGGAUGCUGGAAGGAGGUAAGACUUUGGGGGCUAUUGGGGUGGAAAGAUUGUAUUUUGCAUGUGAAAAGGAUGUGAUUUUUGAGGAGCUGGGGCAGAAUAUUACAGAGGGAAUGUUUACGUCCCCCUGAAAUUCAUGUGUUAAAGACCUAACACCCAAUGUGAUGGUAUGUGGAGAUGGGGCCUUUGGGAGGUAGUUAGGGUUACAUGAGAUCAUGAGGAUGAGGCCCUUAUGGUGGGAUUAGUGCCCUUGUAAGAAGAGACACCAGAGCACUAGUUCUCUCCCUCUCUCCCUCUCUCUCUCUUCCAUGUGAGGACACAAUGAGAAAACAGCCAUCUACAAGCCAGGAAGAAGACCUUCACCAGAACCUGUCCAUCUUGAUCUCAGAACUGUGAGAAAUAAAUUUCUGUUGUUUACCAUAAAUUGCCAUCCAGUCUAUGAUAUUUUCAUAUGGCAGCUCAAGCAGACUAAGACACAGACCUAGGAAAUGGUUGAGUUGGGAUUUGAACCCAUAAGUCUGAUUUGAGGACUUUUCCCUCGACCAACGACACUACACUUUCAAUAACCCUUUCUGCCAAAAGAUAUCUAGGAAGCAAGCCUUAUCUUUUCUUAGAGUAUGUUUCAGUCUCCAACAUUUCCUUUAUACCAAGGGACAGAGAAAAGUGUGACUUGAUUGAAGGUUCCACGUGCUAGGAUUUAUUCUUCCUUCUGUAGCUAAGUGGCGGGACAGAAACUCCCCCACCUUUCCCCUCACGAAGCUGUGUAGAUAGGCCACCAAGGGAAGGAGCAACUGAAUCUCUCACUACAGGACUCGACCAUGUCACCAACACCUGUGCUGAAAUAAAGUUUCACCAGAGGCAGCCUGGCCCCCAAGGGGACCGCAUAGCUGCCGUGAAUCCAGGAGGGCCCAUGGAUGACGCAUACUCCAAGCAACUCAUCAGACCACCCUGCACUGACCUUCUGUGGUCUGCUAAGUAGGGAGCACUUGGAGAAAACACAAAUACAUAUUUAUGUAUAAAGGUAAAGCAUUUUGCAACAGCACUCCUGGUCUCUAGAUUAACAAGUACAAUGUAUCAGGUUCACAGGUAUUUGGGGGUCAGAUUUGCAUCUUGGUUAAAGAGUUGGUGCAUGGUUAUAGGGUGGUGUGAUGAACAUCUUGGAAGAUGUUCACUGAGUAUUUAUUGAGUGAAUGAAUGAGAUGAAAGCCUCUGUGACAAGAGCUGAGCCAUCCCUGUCCGUGCCAGGAUGUGGCAGUCCCCUGACAGGAGUCAAAGGAGCCUGGAGAGUGGGCACUGCCUGCCUUGCCCCCUGGCCGACCUCUAGGUGACACUUGGGCUGGACGGCAAAGAGAAAGGUGUUGCCGCCAAUCAGGGCCACGGCGUGCAUCCACGUGCAGUGCAGGGGUGC
Long non-coding RNA from Balaenoptera acutorostrata (minke whale), 2345 nucleotides. RefSeq lists it as uncharacterized. The record is from RefSeq and is a predicted model, not a curated record. NCBI's taxonomy places the organism in Eukaryota, Metazoa, Chordata, Mammalia, Artiodactyla, Balaenopteridae. The transcript has 7 exons.